UACGGAGGAUGCAAGCGUUAUCCGGAAUGAUUGGGCGUAAAGCGUCCGCAGGUGGCUAUGUAAGUCUGCUGUUAAAGGGUGAGGCUCAACCUCAUAAGAGCAGUGGAAACUACAUGGCUAGAGUGCGUUCGGGGCAGAGGGAAUUCCUGGUGUAGCGGUGAAAUGCGUAGAGAUCAGGAAGAACACCGGUGGCGAAAGCGCUCUGCUGGACUGCAACUGACACUCAGGGACGAAAGCUAGGGGAGCGAAUGGG
Molecule: ribosomal RNA, 253 nt
Filed under: uncultured bacterium
Lineage: Bacteria
Description: partial 16S ribosomal RNA
Rfam family: Bacterial small subunit ribosomal RNA
Source: RNAcentral